GGGCCCAUAGCUCAGUUGGCUAGAGCGCACGGCUGAUAACCGUGAGGUCACAGGUUCAAAUCCUGUUGGGCCCACCA
RNAcentral lists this transfer RNA (77 nucleotides) under Coriobacteriales bacterium. RNAcentral's name for it is "tRNA-Ile". It matches the Rfam family "tRNA". From Rfam's summary of the family: Transfer RNA (tRNA) molecules are approximately 80 nucleotides in length. Their secondary structure includes four short double-helical elements and three loops (D, anti-codon, and T loops). Further hydrogen bonds mediate the characteristic L-shaped molecular structure. tRNAs have two regions of fundamental functional importance: the anti-codon, which is responsible for specific mRNA codon recognition, and the 3' end, to which the tRNAs corresponding amino acid is attached (by aminoacyl-tRNA synthetases). tRNAs cope with the degeneracy of the genetic code in two manners: having more than one tRNA (with a specific anti-codon) for a particular amino acid; and 'wobble' base-pairing, i.e. permitting non-standard base-pairing at the 3rd anti-codon position. The record is from RNAcentral. Lineage: Bacteria; Bacillati; Actinomycetota; Coriobacteriia; Coriobacteriales.